AAAACGUAGGCUUGGAUUAAGGCGACAGCGAUUUCUAGGAUAGUCAGUAGAAUUAGAAUUGUGAAGAUGAUAAGUGUAGAGGGAAGGUUAAUAGUUGAUAUUGCUAGUGUGGCGCUUCCAAUUAGGUGCAUGAGUAGGUGGCCUGCAGUAAUGUUAGCGGUUAGGCGUACGGCCAGGGCUAUUGGUUGAAUGAGUAGGCUGAUGGUUUCGAUAAUAACUAGUAUAGGGAUAAGGGGUGUAGGUGUGCCUUGUGGUAAGAAGUGGGCUAGGGCAUUUUUAAUCUUAGAGCGAAAGCCUAUAAUCACUGCGCCCGCUCAUAAGGGGAUGGCCAUGGCUAGGUUUAUAGAUAGUUGGGUGGUUGGUGUAAAUGAGUGAGGCAGGAGUCCGAGGAGGUUAGUUGUGGCAAUAAAAAUGAUUAAGGAUACUAGUAUAAGAGAUCAGGUUCGUCCCUUAGUGUUGUGUAUGGCUAUCAUUUGUUUUGAGGUUAGUUGGAUUAGUCAUUGUUGGGUGGUAAUUAGUCGGUUGUUGAUGAGAUAUUUGGAGGUGGGGAUCAAUAGAGGGGGAAAUAGAAUGAUCAGUACUGCGGCGGGUAGAAGUAGAGGUUAAGGAGGGUGAUGAUGGCUAUGAUGGUGGGGAUGAUGAGGCUAUUGUUUUUUGUGAAUUCUUCGAUAAUGGCCCAUUUGGGCAAAAAGCCGGUUAGCGGGGGCAGGCCUCCUAGGGAGAGGAGGGUGGAUGGAAUUAAGGGUGUUAGUCAUGUUAGCUUGUUUCAGGUGCGAGAUAGUAGUAGGGUUGUGGUGCUGGAGUUUAAGUUGAGUAGUAGGAAUGCGGUAGUAGUUAGGAUAAUAUAAAUAGUUAAAUUAAGAAUGGUUAUGUUAGGGUUGUACGGUAGAACUGCUGUUAUUCAUCCUAUGUGGGUAAUUGAGGAGUAUGCUAAGAUUUUGCGUAGUUGGGUUUGGUUUAAUCCACCUCAACUGCCUGCCAUGAUGGAUAAGAUUGAAAGAGUGAGGAGAAGGCUUACGUUUAAUGAGGGAGAAAUUUGGUAUAUGAUUGAGAUGGGGGCUAGUUUUUGUCAUGUGAGAAGGAGCAGGCCGGAUGUCAGAGGGGUGCCUUGGGUAACCUCUGGGACUCAGAAGUGAAAGGGGGCUAUUCCUAGUUUUAUUGCUAUAGCCAUUAUGAUUAUUAAUGAUGAGUAUUGAUUGGUGGUAUUGGUUAUGGUUCAUUGUCCGGAGAGUAUAUUGUUGAAGAGGAUAGCUAUUAGAAGGAUUAUGGAUGCGGUUGCUUGCGUGAGGAAAUACUUGAUGGCAGCUUCUGUGGAACGAGGGUUUAUUUUUUUGGUUAGAACUGGAAUAAAAGCUAGCAUGUUUAUUUCUAGGCCUACUCAGGUAAAAAAUCAGUGCGAGCUUAGCGCUGUGAUGAGUGUGCCUGCAAAGAUGGUAGAGUAGAUGACGGGUUGGGCCAGGGGAUUAAUUAGUACGGGAAGGAUAUAACCAACAUUUUCGGGGUAUGGGCCCGAUAGCUUAUUUAGCUGACCUUACUUUAGGAUGGGGUGUGAUAGGUGGCACGGAGAAUUUUGG
This 1574-nucleotide long non-coding RNA is filed under the name Homo sapiens (human). Its description in RNAcentral is "HSALNT0289558". Lineage: Eukaryota; Metazoa; Chordata; Mammalia; Primates; Hominidae. The record is from RNAcentral.